RNAcentral lists this ribosomal RNA (407 nucleotides) under uncultured bacterium. RNAcentral's name for it is "partial 16S ribosomal RNA". It matches the Rfam family "Bacterial small subunit ribosomal RNA", at positions 30 to 526 of the family's 1533-position model. The record is from RNAcentral.
AUUGAACGCUGGCGGCAGGCCUAACACAUGCAAGUCGAGCGGAGCGGCGGACGGGUGAGUAAUGCCUAGGAAUCUGCCUGGUAGUGGGGGAUAACGUCCGGACAGGGGAGCUAAUACAGCAUACUAGAGGAUGGGCCUAGGUCGGAUUAGCUAGUUGGUGGGGUAAAGGCCUACAAAGGCGACGCGCCGUAACUGGUCUGAGGGGAUGAUCAGUCACACUGGAACUGAGACACGGUCCAGACCCCUACGGGAGGCAGCAUUGGGGAAUAUUGGACAAUGGGCGAAAGCCUGAUCCAGCCAUGCCGCGUGUGUGAAGAAGGUCUUCGGAUUGUAAAGCACUUUAAGUUGGGAGGCGUUACCAACAGAAUAAGCACCGGCUAACUUCGUGCCAGCAGCCGCGGUAAUUC